This is an RNA transcript of Papaver somniferum (opium poppy), 1778 nucleotides long. RefSeq lists it as uncharacterized. NCBI's taxonomy places the organism in Eukaryota, Viridiplantae, Streptophyta, Magnoliopsida, Ranunculales, Papaveraceae. The record is from RefSeq and is a predicted model, not a curated record. The transcript is spliced from 7 exons.
UCUCUAGCCGACUUCUGUUUUCCAGUCCAAAAAACUCUGAAGUUCUCAUUCCCUCUCAGUCUAAAAACUCGAUUAACAAGUCAAUCUUUAGACAAAAUCUCGAUUCAUUUUAAGUGAAGAAGAUUUCUCGAUUAAAUCAAGCAAAACAUUUCGUUUUAGGUUAAGAAGAUUACAGUGUUCGCUUAAUCUAGGGUUCUUAGAAAAAUUUCUUUGUUUUGUGAGGUUUUUGCUAUAAUGUAGAGACUUUACCUAUGGGUUUUAUUUAAUUUUUGUUUUGCUUCUUAGAUAUGGGUUUUAGAGUUUUCUGAUGAUGAUGACUUGAUGUUCUCCCUUAACAAAAAAAACUCAGGUAUGAAGGAACAGGAUGAUUUAGCUCAUAGAAAAGUGUAUGUUGCUCAAAAGGGGCUUGUCAAGUAUCUUCAGUGGUUACAGGUAUGAGGGUGAAUGGCUGCAGAACAAUAUGAUUCAGUAAGCAACUGAUUUGUCUACAAGUUUCUCCUUCUUACAUGUUUCUUCUAUUUUUUAUUGGUAGUGUUUUGUUAGAUUCGUUUUUGGAGCAUAGAUCUGAUUUAGUAGUGGUUUAUUAGAUACAACAAUAUAUGUACAUAGUUCAUUAUUCAUUAUAAUUUGAUUUAUGAUUAGGCAGUCUGAACUGAAAGCAUGUGUAGCUUACUGAUUCAUGAUUUCAUUAACAGUCUUAAUUGUUCAUCGUAUAAAUAUGGUUUAUGUCUCUUUAAUAAUUAUACAAGAUGGUAGGGUUUAGUCUGAUGGAAAUAAGUUUAAAAGUUCUGAUGUUACCUCCUUGUGUGUGAAUGAAGUAUCAAUCUUCUUUUUUUUUGCAUAUGUAUCCAUGAAUCUAUUUCACUGUUACAAUAGUAUAGGAAUUUAGUUACAUCUGUUUUGAUGGUAGUUUACCAAAUAUGUAUGCUGUCAAGAGCUAUCACUAAUGUGAUUUUGGCUUUACAAAUGCCAAGCGUUUAAUUGGUAGGAGCUUCUGUGACACCACUGUCCAAGGUGGUAUCAACAACUAGCCAUUCAAUGUUCUAUCCCCCAUGAUUGAGGUCUCAUACAAGGGAGAAGAGAAGCAUUUCUCCGCUGAGGAAAUCUCAUCCAUGGACUUGAUUAAGAUGCGUGAGAUUGCUGAGGCAUACCUUGGUUCUAUAGUUAAGAACUUUGUUGUUACAAUCCCUGCAUACUUCAACGAAUCUCAGCGUUAAGCUACAAAGGAUGCUAGGUCGUUGCUGGUCUUAAUGUUAUGGGUAUCAUCAAUGAGCCUACGGCUGCUGCCAUUGCCUGAAGAAGAUUACCAGUUCACUAAGCAAAGAUAUCAGGUUGAUGCUCUUCAGUGAUAUCUUUCCAACUGAGAUACAGAAGAUGGAUUAUGAUUUUCUUAUUUUGAUGGAGUUGAUAGUGGUGCCAUUGUGCCAUCUGAGAUUGUACACUCAAUUGACAUUCAUCCUUCGCGAAAGCAUGCCUGCGGCACAAAUACUGAAGAAAAUGUCUAUGAGAAUCAUGUCACUCAGGCGCUCAAUAGGAUAUAUAAUCCAAGAUAAUUGGCUCUAUGGUGUUGAACACAAUCAUGAUUCACAAUUAAAUAUGGUAUAUCCAUAUUUUCCAAGACUGCCCCAUGUUCAGAUUACUAAGAUUGUUAGGUGCCCUUUUUCAACACAUUUUGUAAGCUGUCAUUGGAUGUAAUAGGUUACCAAUUUAUCCAGAAUGUCAGGGAUAUAUCAAAGUCACAAGUAUAAUGAUUUUUGCAAUAUAUAUAUUCUUUCGUA